Long non-coding RNA from Molossus molossus (Pallas's mastiff bat), 292 nucleotides. RefSeq lists it as uncharacterized. Lineage: Eukaryota; Metazoa; Chordata; Mammalia; Chiroptera; Molossidae. The transcript is spliced from 3 exons. The record is from RefSeq and is a predicted model, not a curated record.
GUUGAGAAUAUUCCAUUCUGUGCAUAUAGUGCAUUUUGUUUAUUAAUUCAUCUAUUGUUGGACACUUGGGUUAUUUCCACCUUUUGGCUCCUGUGAAUAAUGCUGCUGUGAAGAUUAAUCACUGACAUGGACUGUCAUUCUCAUUCUGUGACAUCCUUAUAAAAAUAGCACAUGCCCCUGGAUUGGACAUCUGGAAAAGUAUGAAAAAGAAUAAAAAAAGAAGUAAGAUUCAUACCUACUCUCCAUCCAGGGGAGCAAGAGAGACCAGAACCUAAACUGAGCUACAAGCAAC